CGCCAUCUGAAGUGCCCGUAUCGUGUCACACAUGCAAGUCUGAAGUCAUUUUGUCAUGCCUGCUUGGAUGCAUCCAAAAUCCGGUUUACCUGUGAAGAAGACCAACAAAAAAGCAAAGUCAGAUGUGAUUUCCAUGGCAGCUUUUUCCUCGAAGCCGUAUGUGACCAUUGGAGCAUGAGAGCGUGAGAGCGCGGCGGCUCAGAUGGAGACGGGAUAGAAGGAGGCGAAGACGGAGGCGUCGUCGCCGCUUACCAGUGGUCUCCACGAUGCCCUCCAGGAUCACCACGAUCUCAAACUGCUCACUGGUUUCUUUAUACGUCCACUAACAUCAUCAACAACAUCAGCAACCCCCUCGGCCCCCCACUGACCCGUCCAUGACAUUGCCGCCGGCCAACAACCCCCAUGAAGUCCCCCUGCGAGUGUCAUGUGAGUAAACAGCCUCGUCACCAAUUGAAUAUGAAUGAGGUGUGCCGCAGGGUUCCGUGUCGUUGCCGCUGUGGAGUCAGCGGGCCGUUGUUCACUUGUUAGCUACUUAGCGGCUUGUGAGCAAGCCCGUCAAAACGCUUUACCUCCGUCCUUUUCACUUUUUUUUUUUUUUCGCUGCCUUGUCUCUUGUCAAAUUAACAAGACGGAUGAGCAGCCCGUAUGGCGACAGUCCACAGGCGAAGCGGCUUACAAGUCUGCUGUCUUUUCCCAGAGUCUCUGUGCCUCAAAGAAGAUGAUUUCGCUUCCCGAGCGCCGCAUUUAUUAUUAGACUUGAGAUGUGCUUAAAUUUAUACACUUCCAGAGCCCGGAAUCGAACCCUGCACCUCUGCACUGUGAGUCCAUCGUGCUAACCAGGUGUCCACCGUGCCGCCCUAGAAAUAAUCCACGAAAUCAAAAACAUCAACACAUAGGCACACGCGUGCAUGAUCACUAUUGCUCCUCUCACAAGUUACUUCCACUAACCGCCACAACUAUUACAAAUCCAUCCGUUCAUUUAGUACUUCUGCUUAUCUUGUGCAGAGUCACAACUGCCCCGAAGUCCCAGCUGUCCUGGUGGGCAAGAGUCAAACCCACCCAGGACAUAGAAAUAAUCCAAGUAAAUUCAUUGUUGCUCUUAAUCAGUAUUCUGCUAGCUUUCCACAUUCAUUCCCAACAGGGAAAAAAAAAAACUUGUACUAUGAGGUGUCCUAAGCAUCUUUCUUCUUCUGGCCUCCUCGUACACGCCUUUUGAUUACAUCUCUUAUUAGAAAAUGCAAUAGAAACCAAUUCCGAGUCCCCAAACCUCUGAGGAGAUAAAACAAGACAGACAAUUCUUUUUUUUUUCCGGAUGAAACUCUUACCAUGCAAAUUUUUCAUUAAGUUCCCUCGCUCUCCGCACCUGUGGCAUUUCGCUGUUCCAUCGGUACUCGUCAGCCGCUCACUGAGUGACAGACUCAUCUUCCUCCUCCUCCUCCUCCUCUUCUUUGUCUUUCUGUUGGCAGCUGUCAGCCACUAAUUAUCCACUACGCCGAUCGCCCCACAACUUCCUGUCCAAACAGCCGCCAUUGUUUAACGCUUUCACACAAACAGACGGCGGCGGAAUCUGUGAGGUCCGACACAAUCCCUCUUAAAACGCCAAUUUGUUUGGCUUCGGAAACAGUUUCCAUCAGACGGUAUUCUGCUUCAUUGAAGCUUCAUUAACUCUCCAGGCAAUGUUUU
This is a long non-coding RNA of Hippocampus comes (tiger tail seahorse), 1683 nucleotides long. RefSeq lists it as uncharacterized. Lineage: Eukaryota; Metazoa; Chordata; Actinopteri; Syngnathiformes; Syngnathidae. The transcript is spliced from 4 exons. The record is from RefSeq and is a predicted model, not a curated record.